GACAUCCUACGGGAGGCAGCAGUAGGGAAUAUUGCUCAAUGGGGGAAACCCUGAAGCAGCAACGCCGCGUGGAGGAUGAAGGUUUUCGGAUUGUAAACUCCUUUUGUUAGAGAAGAUAAUGACGGUAUCUAACGAAUAAGCACCGGCUAACUCCGUGCCAGCAGCCGCGGUAAUACGGAGGGUGCAAGCGUUACUCGGAAUCACUGGGCGUAAAGAGUGCGUAGGCGGGGUAAUAAGUCAGAUGUGAAAUCCUAUGGCUUAACCAUAGAACUGCAUUUGAAACUGUUAUUCUAGAGUAUGGGAGA
Molecule: ribosomal RNA, 305 nt
Filed under: uncultured bacterium
Lineage: Bacteria
Description: bacterial SSU rRNA
Rfam family: Bacterial small subunit ribosomal RNA
Source: RNAcentral